GUGAUUGGACCAUAGGUGGACAUCUGACCCUAAGGAAAGCAGUCAUUUGAAGGCAGAAUCAGCUACACUGAAAAGCGAGUCCCUGUCUCAAAAAAACAAAACAAACAAGCAAAUAAUCAGCUACACUGUCUUCCAGGACUUUAGACAAAGAAAGAAAGAGGACUGGCAAGUGUGAGAUGUGAAAGACUCAGGCAGAUUUCAUCACUGAGAAAGGGUCAACAGGUAGAAGCCCCUCCUAUCUGCACUAUGAACAUGCACUGAGAGGUAAACAAUUUUUUACCUCAGAGCCUUGAGAUUUGGGGGUUGUUACAGCAGUGUAACCCAAACUGUUUCAACAAGUGCAAGCACUUAUCACAGCUGUGGUUUUACAUUUGCUAGGAUAAUUCUGGGUCAAUGUCUAUCUCAUCUAUGCUGCCCGUUUCUCAGGGGACAGGCAUUGUACUUGAAUCUGGAACUACAGCAGGGAACAAGGACACAGUAGCACACAUCUACAAUCUCAGCUUCUUGGGAGGCAAAGGCAGGGAGAUCUCAAGUUCAAAGCCAGCCUGAAUUUAGCAAGAUCCUGUCUCAAAAUUAAAAAGAAG
Molecule: long non-coding RNA, 584 nt
Organism: Heterocephalus glaber (naked mole-rat)
Lineage: Eukaryota; Metazoa; Chordata; Mammalia; Rodentia; Bathyergidae
Source: Ensembl